GUUGAGAAUAAUGAUAAAUUAAACUCAAAAUUGGACAUACGGUAGACAUAUUGUAACAAUCGAAUACAUAUGUAACUACAUGUAUUUACAUUCAUUAGUCUUAGCUACAAUACGACGUUAAGCAUAGUUGUGACUACAGCAAAUAUUGACAUUUAAACAAGAUAUUGGCGAGAAGACAGUUAUUGUUAAAAUCGAUGCACUGGUGAACAUAAGAAUGCAACACUUUAAAAGAAAGUGUCUUCGCCUUAUCAUACUGUUACUUAUUGCGAUAUAUUCUACAGGUGUGUAGACAUGAACAAAAUGAUCAUUCCAUUGAGCAUUUAUUCGAUGAUCGACACUAGUAUUUUAGUCUACUCAUGCAAUAAGAAAACAUAAGGCAACCAAAACAAGCUAGCUUAACAAAUACAAAAAGAGUACUCGCUCUACAAAAUACUGCGUAGUAGUAGUUGUAGUAGUAGUAGUAGUAGUAGUAGUAGUAGUAGUAGUAGUAGUAGUAGUAGUAGUAGUAGUAGUAGAAGUAGUAGUAGUAGUAGUAGUAGUAGUAGUAGUAGUAGAAGUAGUAGUAGUAGUAGUAGUAGUAGUAGUAGUAGUAGUAGUAGUAGUAGUAGUAGUAGUAGUAGUAGUAGUGGUAGUAGUAAUAGUAGUAGUAGUAGUAGUAGUAGUAGUAGUAGUAGUAGUAGUAGUAGUAGUAGUAACAUGAUGUGCUAACAUUGUUUUUGCGUUUUCAGGUGAUUUGCGUUAUUAACAGAUAUGCAUUAAUGAUAUUAGUUUAUUAAACACUUCUCUUAUCGAGUUAUGUUCAUCAUUGUUGUGCAGGUAAAUAUAGCUCUUUAUUCCACCUUGUUAACGAUAAUUGAAAAUAAAUGGUUCAGUGAAGUUUUAACAACUAGUAUUUGAAAGUAUUUUACAAUUUGCCUUAUUGUAAUGUUUCAUUACACCACGCGCGGGAAACGUAAAAAUAGAGCUUAUGUAUUGAACAUUCGAACAUUUAAUUAUCUUAAAUCCAUUCGUUCACACGUUUACAGUACCCUGAGAAAAUCAAAUAAAACUGAUCGAACACCGAACAAUAAUCUUUAUUCAAACAUGUACAUACACUUUUUUUAGACAGAUGGCAGAAGGCACUAAUCAGCCGCAUGGGUCAGAAAGUGCGCCAUGUUGCAACACCUCUAGCAAUAGUCGCACUCGGAUAAGCGAUGAAGAUGAAUCUGUGGAACUGAGCAAUGUUUUAAACAUGCUGGGAUAUGGGCAUGAGCUUAGACAGAAACGCCGGGAAUGCUAUAAGGACUUAGACAGAAUAGAAACUGCACAGUGGGGGUUUGGUAACUGUGAUUUUAUCACAGUCGGAAGUAAGGCAGAGGGGAUUUCUCGUUAUCUUGAAAGUGAUAUGGACAUCUUAUGUGUUAACAACUUUGUAAAAUGCAUAGAAGCGGGUUGUGACAUAAACUCAAUUCCAGAGAACACAUCAGUUUGCAGAAUGGAUACUACGAUAUGUUAUCCAGGACAUUGCUUACUGCUGCUCGAGCGAGGAUUCCCAUUACUACUUUUGUUAGCAAUGUGCGAUAAUGGACAUGGGCAAAUUCUUCUUAGUAGUGACGCUUGUGUAAAUAUUCUUCAAAUGAGUUCACACUUUUUAAGAGGACCCUUUCCAAAUGAAAGAGCGGGGCCGUCACUGCCAUUCACUAUUGGAUACUCUAACGCUGACCUUGUUUAUGCAUUUCGCUGUCAUUGUCCUAGCAUACUUCAUAGAUGGGCAUCCCGAUCUCGACAUUGGCCGCCAUUUAAUAUUGUGGAAAAGGUCGUAUCAAUGGGAGCUUUUCUAACUCCUGUUGGGUUUAAAGGAAGCGAAAAUAAUCAUAUUGAGUGGAGGAUUUGUUUCAACACAGGUGAGGCAGAAUUGAUGAUUAAUCUGAACGACGCACAAAUUAAAUUAUAUGUGUUGUUGAAAAUGAUUGGGAAAGAUGUACUGAAACCACGACAUAAGGAAAUAACAUCUUACAUGUUAAAAAAUAUAGUUCUAUGGCUCGCUGAGAAAAACCCACAGUCAAUGUUUCAUGAGAAGAGCUUGUUUUUCUGGAUUCGUGAAUCGCUACUGGAGCUAAGAACUGCACUGUCCAAAAAACAACUUCCAUACUAUAUGAUUCCGGAGAGGAACCUAAUGGCAGCCACUGGAGUGACCGAUACGCAGAAUCGAAGAUGGAUCGCAACACUUACGGACAUGUUGGAUGAAGGUCCGGCGAUAAUUCGGAGGCUGCCGCUGAUACGACAAGCCAUUAUCUCCCACCCGGAUCCUUUCAUCUGGUACAAUACGAGAAGAAUCGAACUGGAGAUUAUUUUAUUAGAAUCAAUAAAAAGUGGUCUAUACUCGAAUGGAAACUACUUGGUAAACAUGUUCGAUUAUUUGCUUCGAAAUAGUCUGAUGUGGCGUUUUGUAGUGAUAGUGAAUGAAGUUUUUACAAACUUAUCCGGGAAAGAAAUUAUGGACACAUAUAGUGUUUUUGAGCUUUUCCAUAUAUUUAGCAGAUUUUUAAUGUAAAACAUUAAAAACUAUACACAUUCCGUUAUAUGUACAUACCUGUUUUUAUGAUAGGAGACUUUUAUUAGAAAUUGUUGUGUACGAUUUUCAAUUGAAGUAUGUGCGUUGACCUGAGCAGGAUGUAUUAAAUCGUAUGUCCGGCGAUUGUCAAAAUAUUGAUAAGCAAUACUGUUUACUUCGUAUAUGCCGAUAUAAUAUAAUCAAUAUCAAAAACUGCAUGUAUAUCCACAUUAAUUAAUUCUUAUAUAAUUAUGAGUAAACAAGUUUUUGAUUUUUUGUUCAAACGCAUGCAAUAACGUGUUUGAUGCGUAUAAUGUGCGCAUGCGCUUGCAUUAGAUUACAACUGUUAUCGCCCUCGUGGUGUAAUUCCUAUCCAUCGGUUUUACAAACAAUUGGUUAUUAUUGCAGUCGCCAACACUUAGACGUACACUAUUUAUUUUUCUUAAAAUCAUGUUAACUUGUUACCAAUCACUUCUCAAAAUUGUAAACAUUGUGUAUAAUCAUUAUCUUAUGAGAAUAUUAACUAUUUCAGGGUUAAGCGUUCAACGUUUUGUUCUUCAUAAGCGCCUAUGUACAGCGUAUUAAAAUAUCAUGCCACGUAAAAUAUAGCUUUGAUAUCAGUCAUGUUUUUAAUAAUGAUAUUUAUAUACUGUACUCAUGUUCACUUAUGCUAUGAAUACUACAUUAACAUUUCACAUAUUAAUGAGGUACAUAAGUAUGUGUUUUGUAACAAUCAAAACAUGAAUGUCACGGUGGAUGGAGUUAUUUGUAUCAUCUAGAAGCUGCAUUUAUAUUUUGACGAUGUACUUCGCGCAUAGAUAAGAAAAUUACUAUUGCAAUAAUUGAUCUGUGAUGAGGGUUUUCAAUACAUCAGUAUUUCGUACCAACAGAACAUUGGAAGGUAAUAAAUAUAGUGGUAUAAUGCGCGUCAUACUAUUCCAAAUUUCAAGUCCCAACCACUUCCAUUGUUUUUAAAGGAGUAUUUGUAUAAUUUAGUUUAUUUAACGUGACAAAUAUCGUAUAUAUUUAAUUCUACCACGGCACGUGACUUGUUUUCUAUAUACAAAGAAUGAAAACUGUUGGUUAUUACCCCGAUAUACCAACGAUUGUUUAAAGUGACGUCACUUUGAUUGUCCGCGCACUAUUUAUGAAUGAAGACGACGUCAUUUGAUUUUAUUUGUUGUGGUGACGUCACGUUUUCGCGGAAAAGUGGAGGACAUUUGGUUGAUAUAAUUCUUCUUUAUAAACUUUAAAUCGCGUGUAACCUAUUAAUGAAAUCGUGUUAGAAUCGAAAUAAUCGACGGAUAACCGUUGUUUAUUGCGGUAAUAACCAACGGUAUGUCGUUCCGAUUCUUGUUGUCAAACCACUCGGGCUACGCCCUCAUGGUUUAAUUCCUACGCAUCGGAACUCCAUACCGUUGGUUAUUACCGCAAUAACCAACGGUUACCCGUCGAUUAUUUCAUAAAUAUAUUUUGGAUUAUUUAUGAGCUAUUAUACCUUAAUAUGUUGUUGUUUAUCUGUUAGUACAUGUUUUUGCUUGUUUGCCAAUGUUUUUGUUUAUGAAAAUAAUGUUUUAUAUCGUUGAUUGUUGUCACAUAACCCACUGUCAGAAGUAUAUAUGCGUAUGCAUUGCGAAGCACGACUGAUAUGAGAGCUCGUAUCUAUAAUCCUGACCACAUGUAAGUCGACAACAAACUUUGUUAGAAAACUGUUUAUAUCAGUGUCGCAUAUUAAAGAUCCAUCUGCCAUAGUGUAUGAUACCCGAACGAAAUAUAAUGGCAGCUUGCAGACUGAAUGAAGAGCAAACACAUACCUGGGUAGUAACAAUAACAGAUAUGAUGAACGAGGGUCAGAAGAUAUUAUUAAUAUAAAGAAGUGAAACUCCGACUGCUGGGGCAGUAUUGAAUUCUUAUUAUAUACAAUUAGUUGGUCCUUUAUUUAAGGCAAGUGACCAAUUGCCAAAACAGUACAAAACAGCACAAAACAUUGCCGAAGAUAAGGAAAGCUAUAAUCUCUCACCCGGAGCCACUUGUGUGGUACAGUAAAAAGAAAGUGGAGGUUGAACUGCUGCACCUUAAGCACUUGAAUAGAUACUUCCAGUGCAGGUUUGAGAAUUGUGUUGCACAUGAGUCGGCGAUAUCGGAUCCUAUGCUGCAGGCGAUUAAGAGACGUAAGGAUGAGAUAGUGAGAGAGGUCUAUCAGAAGAUGUAUUGGGAAGGAAGUCAGGUUGAUGAUCUGGAUGAUAUAUAUGACAAGAUGAUGAUUUAAUGGUCUUAUUUUGCAACACUGGUCGUAAAUAAGGGGUAUGCAAUUGUUAACAUUGUCGAAAAGUAUACACACAUGUAUAUAUUCAUUCUUUAAUGAAUGCGUAUUUAUUGCGAAACUGAUCCCUUUAUUCUAGAAAUGUUGUCUUAUAAAGAACAUUAAUAAUCACAUGUUAUGUUACCAUAGACCAUUUAAAGGAUACAUAGGCAUUCAUCCCUCUUUAAGCUUUAUCCGUGUAAAUGCUGGCUGAUCUCAAGUGUAUUUAAAGGUUAUGUAAUAUCAUGGGUCAUUAUUUUAACCAUCAUUACAGCAUAACAAAAUGUUGUCAGCACGUUUUCCCACGGUUUAAUAAUAUACUGACAGUGAAUGUACACCUUCCGUUUCGACGAUGGGAGAAUUCGUGUUAUUGAAUAUUUCAACUUCUAAAAUGCCCAGAAAUGACAGACUGACAAAAUUACGGUGGCACUAAGGUGAGAUCACCGCUCAAAAAAAAAAGAAGUCGGGAAAACACAAGUUCUGUUGUUCCGUUUCCAAAAAAAAAUAACUCGGGGAAACACAAAAUUAAUCUGUUUUCACGAGUUAUUUUUUUGUUGUUGAAAAACAGCAUGUUAAACAAAUUAAACGCAUAAGUAUUAUUAAUUUAAAACUUUAACUUAUGAAAAAGACUAGUAAAUGUUAACCAUUUCAGUAUCGCUAUAUGCCGAAAGUGUUGAUUUAAUUUGUACUAACAUAUAUAUUAUGGGUUUUUUAAACUAAAUACUGUUAACCAGGGAUAAUUUACUCGUAAAAGCGUAACUUGAUUACAGAGAUAAGAAAUUGACUACAAAACAAAUCCAAAGUACGGGACAUUCUUAACCACACCGGUUUUACCGAUGAAUGGCUUUUUCCUCUAUCUGUGAAAACUGUUCGAGUUACGAAUGUAAACCGGUUAUAAAAAACACAGAGCACUAUACCAGUGUAUCAUUAAUUGGAAUGUCAGUGUUACAUGGUCUUCAUCAAUAAUUUUAUAUAAGGGACUAAAUCCUGUAUUUGAAAGAUCAUCGUCUAUUGAUAUUUGUGAUAUUUCAACGCAUAGGAACAUUACAGCUAAACGUUUGUCGUCUCUUAAGUUAUCGAUCGAAAUGGAAAUACACCAUACCAUUGUCAGAGAUCAACGCAAAUGUGAGGUACGACAUUCCAGCCUAUACGUAUCUUCUACGGCAGUUAAGCUGGCCAAAGUCAACGAUCAGCUGUGUGAAGUCUAGUUCUAGGAGGACUUUACAUUCAAUAGACAGUUUGGCAGUGCUGUCAAGCUUUCCUGACUCAUGGUGUUCCGCAGAUAGUUUUUCACGCGAUAUAAUGUUGAAAAUGACCUCUCACCCUUGACAUUUAUUAACUGGAAUUGUUAAGUUUACGUAUUCGUACAGCGAUGGCAACGUUUGGAAAGGUGGUCUGUAGUAACUCCAUCUAACUUUAGCAGUUCACUCAUGUGGGUGAUGGUUCUGUCUUGGACCGCUUCCAGAUAGCAUAGCAAAUCAAACCGAACUUAACUAUCCAGAUGUUGUCAUGACCUUACGGGCAAGUUGUACAUUUAACAGAGACAAUAAUGGAUCUGAAUGUAUAUACAACACAGAACAAAAAUUGAUAGCAUAGUAUAUAAAAGCGAACUAAACGGUUACAAUUGGAUAUAUGUACAUCGGGAAAGUGCAAUCCUGAUAGAGUCGUGAUAUGGAGUAAUACAGAAAGAUCAAACAUAGGGAAAGUGGCCUUGCCGUUAAAAAUCGGGGGCUCAAGGCUGCAGCCUUGUUAGCCUAGUGCGUAUUCCAGCCCUGUAUAUAAAACAGUUCCGUAGUAAACACAGAUAACUGUUAUUAUUGACAUUUAAAAGGUGCGUGGAGAACUAAGCCAAUGGUGUGAUAAAUUGUGUGUUUCUUCUUAAUUGACGAAUACAUGUUUUAUUAAUGCAAGUUCAAACUCAAGCAUUUGAAUGACGCUAUAAACUGUUUUCUUUAAACUUUUGAUUGGUGUGACAUUAGU
Molecule: RNA transcript, 6815 nt
Organism: Dreissena polymorpha
Lineage: Eukaryota; Metazoa; Mollusca; Bivalvia; Myida; Dreissenidae
Exons: 3
Source: RefSeq, a predicted model, not a curated record